RNAcentral lists this ribosomal RNA (417 nucleotides) under Pseudomonas sp. R10.60. Its description in RNAcentral is "bacterial SSU rRNA". It matches the Rfam family "Bacterial small subunit ribosomal RNA", at positions 94 to 507 of the family's 1533-position model. The record is from RNAcentral. Lineage: Bacteria; Pseudomonadati; Pseudomonadota; Gammaproteobacteria; Pseudomonadales; Pseudomonadaceae.
AGCGGCGGACGGGUGAGUAAUGCCUAGGAAUCUGCCUGGUAGUGGGGGAUAACGUUCGGAAACGGACGCUAAUACCGCAUACGUCCUACGGGAGAAAGCAGGGGACCUUCGGGCCUUGCGCUAUCAGAUGAGCCUAGGUCGGAUUAGCUAGUUGGUGGGGUAAUGGCUCACCAAGGCGACGAUCCGUAACUGGUCUGAGAGGAUGAUCAGUCACACUGGAACUGAGACACGGUCCAGACUCCUACGGGAGGCAGCAGUGGGGAAUAUUGGACAAUGGGCGAAAGCCUGAUCCAGCCAUGCCGCGUGUGUGAAGAAGGUCUUCGGAUUGUAAAGCACUUUAAGUUGGGAGGAAGGGUUGUAGAUUAAUACUCUGCAAUUUUGACGUUACCGACAGAAUAAGCACCGGCUAACUCUGUG